This 492-nucleotide ribosomal RNA is filed under the name uncultured bacterium. RNAcentral describes it as "partial 16S ribosomal RNA". It matches the Rfam family "Bacterial small subunit ribosomal RNA", at positions 30 to 507 of the family's 1533-position model. The record is from RNAcentral.
AUUGAACGCUGGCGGCAUGCUUUACACAUGCAAGUCGAACGGUAACAGGCCUUCGGGUGCUGACGAGUGGCGAACGGGUGAGUAAUGCAUCGGAACGUGCCCAGAGGUGGGGGAUAACGCAGCGAAAGCUGUGCUAAUACCGCAUGUGAUCUGAGGAUGAAAGCGGGGGACCAGGCAGCAAUGUUUGGCCUCGCGCCUUUGGAGCGGCCGAUGUCAGAUUAGGUAGUUGGUGGGGUAAGGGCCUACCAAGCCGACGAUCUGUAGCUGGUCUGAGAGGACGACCAGCCACACUGGGACUGAGACACGGCCCAGACUCCCACGGGAGGCAGCAGUGGGGAAUUUUGGACAAUGGGCGCAAGCCUGAUCCAGCAAUGCCGCGUGCGGGAAGAAGGCCUUCGGGUUGUAAACCGCUUUUGUACGGAACGAAAAGGCUCUGGCUAAUACCUGGGGCUGAUGACGGUACCGUAAGAAUAAGCACCGGCUAACUACGUG